This 230-nucleotide ribosomal RNA is filed under the name uncultured bacterium. RNAcentral's name for it is "partial 16S ribosomal RNA". It matches the Rfam family "Bacterial small subunit ribosomal RNA", at positions 562 to 791 of the family's 1533-position model. The record is from RNAcentral.
AAAGCGUGUGCAGGCGGUUAUAUAAGACAGAUGUGAAAUCCCCGGGCUCAACCUGGGAACUGCAUUUGUGACUGUAUAGCUGGAGUGCGGCAGAGGGGGAUGGAAUUCCGCGUGUAGCAGUGAAAUGCGUAGAUAUGCGGAGGAACACCGAUGGCGAAGGCAAUCCCCUGGGCCUGCACUGACGCUCAUGCACGAAAGCGUGGGGAGCAAACAGGAUUAGAUACCCUGGU